RNAcentral lists this long non-coding RNA (445 nucleotides) under Triticum aestivum (bread wheat). RNAcentral's name for it is "long non-coding RNA (TAES_LNC011589)". Lineage: Eukaryota; Viridiplantae; Streptophyta; Magnoliopsida; Poales; Poaceae. The record is from RNAcentral.
AAGAGGAGAGGGGAGGAGCCAGCAGGGCCAAUGGUCCAUUCUGUCAAGAGACCGAAGGGCAACCUGCGGAGAAUUGAGAGCACCGAUGCUCUCAAGGAUGAAAUAGUCAUACCCAGAGGUACUCUUGUCAAGAGACCGAAGGGCAACCUGCGGAGAAUUGAGAGCACCGAUGCUCUAGGAUGAAAUAGUCAUACCCAGAGGUACUCUUGUCAAGAGACCGAAGGGCAACCUGCGGAGAAUUGAGAGCACCGAUGCUCUCAAGGAUGAAAUAGUCAUACCCAGAGGUACUCUUGUGACUUGCGUUGCUGGUGUAGAGAUGCAGCCUGAAGAUGUUGGUGCCGCCAUUCAAUUUUUGGAGUUUUGUCGCUCAUUUGGCGAGGUAGUUAUGGAAAGCAAAUAGUAUUUUUUUAAUCAUAUGUUAGUUACACUUCUGCGAUAAAAUCUC